Molecule: long non-coding RNA, 291 nt
Filed under: Trifolium pratense (red clover)
Lineage: Eukaryota; Viridiplantae; Streptophyta; Magnoliopsida; Fabales; Fabaceae
Description: long non-coding RNA (TPRA_LNC013430)
Source: RNAcentral
UUGGUUGCGCAAGAGAGGAUCGUUAUUGGGGUCUGCCAUAGUGAAGAUUUGAUGAAAUUACGAGAGAAUUGAAAUUGGAUUGAUUCUUUUUUAUUCUUAUGAGAUCGUAAGAUCCGAUUUGCGUCUCUCCGCUAUGAGCGAAGGCUAGCUGAAUCUCGACCCUCACUGCUAGUAUUGGGUAUUUAUAGUGAAAAGAAAAUACGUCUUUCUAUACUACUAGCACACAGAAAAUGUUUUUUUUUUUUUUUUGACUAAAAUCACACAGAAAAUGUUUAGGAAGUAUGAUUCUCG